Molecule: ribosomal RNA, 901 nt
Filed under: uncultured Campylobacterota bacterium
Lineage: Bacteria; Pseudomonadati; Campylobacterota
Description: bacterial SSU rRNA
Rfam family: Bacterial small subunit ribosomal RNA
Source: RNAcentral
ACUCUACGGGAGGCAGCAGUGAGGAAUAUUGCACAAUGGGGGGAACCCUGAUGCAGCAACGCCGCGUGGAGGAUGACGCAUUUCGGUGUGUAAACUCCUUUUAUCAGAGAAGAAGAUGACGGUAUCUGAUGAAUAAGCUCCGGCUAACUCCGUGCCAGCAGCCGCGGUAAUACGGAGGGAGCAAGCGUUACUCGGAAUCACUGGGCGUAAAGGAUGCGUAGGCGGGUGAUCAAGUUGAGAGUGAAAUCCUAUGGCUUAACCAUAGAACUGCUCUCAAAACUGGUUACCUAGAAUAUGGAAGAGGCAGAUGGAAUUAGUGGUGUAGGGGUAAAAUCCGUAGAGAUCACUAGGAAUACCGAUUGCGAAGGCGAUCUGCUGGGACAUUAUUGACGCUGAGGCAUGAAAGCGUGGGGAGCAAACAGGAUUAGAUACCCUGGUAGUCCACGCCCUAAACGAUGCACACUAGUUGUUGCGAUGCUCGUCAUUGCAGUAAUACAGUUAACACAUUAAGUGUGCCGCCUGGGGAGUACGGUCGCAAGAUUAAAACUCAAAGGAAUAGACGGGGACCCGCACAAGUGGUGGAGCAUGUGGUUUAAUUCGAAGAUACGCGAAGAACCUUACCUAGCCUUGACAUAUAUUAGAAUCCACCAGAGAUGGAGGAGUGCCUUCGGGAGCUUUUAUACAGGUGCUGCACGGCUGUCGUCAGCUCGUGUCGUGAGAUGUUGGGUUAAGUCCCGCAACGAGCGCAACCCUCGUCACUAGUUACUAACGGUUCGGCCGAGGACUCUAGUGAGACUGCCUUCGUAAGGAGGAGGAAGGUGAGGACGACGUCAGUCAUCAUGGCCCUUACGGCUAGGGCAACACACGUGCUACAAUGGCCAGGACAGUGAGACGCGAUACC